This 66-nucleotide transfer RNA is filed under the name Caenis robusta. RNAcentral's name for it is "tRNA-Leu". It matches the Rfam family "tRNA". Rfam says of the family: Transfer RNA (tRNA) molecules are approximately 80 nucleotides in length. Their secondary structure includes four short double-helical elements and three loops (D, anti-codon, and T loops). Further hydrogen bonds mediate the characteristic L-shaped molecular structure. tRNAs have two regions of fundamental functional importance: the anti-codon, which is responsible for specific mRNA codon recognition, and the 3' end, to which the tRNAs corresponding amino acid is attached (by aminoacyl-tRNA synthetases). tRNAs cope with the degeneracy of the genetic code in two manners: having more than one tRNA (with a specific anti-codon) for a particular amino acid; and 'wobble' base-pairing, i.e. permitting non-standard base-pairing at the 3rd anti-codon position. The record is from RNAcentral. Lineage: Eukaryota; Metazoa; Arthropoda; Insecta; Ephemeroptera; Caenidae.
UCUAAUAUGGCAGAUAAGUGCAAUAGAUUUAAGCUCUAUAUAUGAAAAUUCAUUUUUCUAUUAGAA